Molecule: ribosomal RNA, 713 nt
Filed under: uncultured Bacteroidales bacterium
Lineage: Bacteria; Pseudomonadati; Bacteroidota; Bacteroidia; Bacteroidales
Description: bacterial SSU rRNA
Rfam family: Bacterial small subunit ribosomal RNA
Source: RNAcentral
AACACAUGCAAGUCGAGGGGCAGCAUUUUAGUUUGCUUGCAAACUGAAGAUGGCGACCGGCGCACGGGUGAGUAACACGUAUCCAACCUGCCGAUAACUCCGGAAUAGCCUUUCGAAAGAAAGAUUAAUACCGGAUAGCAUACGAAUAUCGCAUGAUAUUUUUAUUAAAGAAUUUCGGUUAUCGAUGGGGAUGCGUUCCAUUAGUUUGUUGGCGGGGUAACGGCCCACCAAGACUACGAUGGAUAGGGGUUCUGAGAGGAAGGUCCCCCACAUUGGAACUGAGACACGGUCCAAACUCCUACGGGAGGCAGCAGUGAGGAAUAUUGGUCAAUGGGCGAGAGCCUGAACCAGCCAAGUAGCGUGAAGGAUGAAGGCUCUAUGGGUCGUAAACUUCUUUUAUAUGGGAAUAAAGUUUUCCACGUGUGGAAUUUUGUAUGUACCAUAUGAAUAAGGAUCGGCUAACUCCGUGCCAGCAGCCGCGGUAAUACGGAGGAUCCGAGCGUUAUCCGGAUUUAUUGGGUUUAAAGGGAGCGUAGGUGGAUUGUUAAGUCAGUUGUGAAAGUUUGCGGCUCAACCGUAAAAUUGCAGUUGAAACUGGCAGUCUUGAGUACAGUAGAGGUGGGCGGAAUUCGUGGUGUAGCGGUGAAAUGCUUAGAUAUCACGAAGAACUCCGAUUGCGAAGGCAGCUCACUAGACUGUUACUGACACUGAUG